This is a long non-coding RNA of Canis lupus familiaris (dog), 11172 nucleotides long. RefSeq lists it as uncharacterized. The transcript is spliced from 3 exons. The record is from RefSeq and is a predicted model, not a curated record. Lineage: Eukaryota; Metazoa; Chordata; Mammalia; Carnivora; Canidae.
AGACCAGAUGCUCUGGCUCAGCAGAGUGGGGAAGUGCUUCUCUGAUGACCUUGACCGCAGAGGGCAUGCGGUGAAAACCAUGGGAUGGGGAAGUGCCCUGUUUCAGAUUUCAGACAUUAAAGGGGUCCUGUUACCCAAGAUGUGAAGAUCUGUAUUUAGAAAAUAGACCAAGUCCAGGGCUUACUAUUCACUUUUAUUUUUAGCCUCUUCUAGGACACGGGGAAUAAAAUUUGAUUUACAGAAAACCAGCAUUCUUAAUGGCAGACGAGCCAAGAACUUCAAGGGUCAUCUCUUUAUUUCCUGCUCUAGUUGGGAGUGAGGGGAGUCCUCAGCCCACCCCCUCGAUAUUCUGGCAGGGUUCUCUCGGAGGCUACAGCCAGCCCCUGAGCCACCUUGUCUCCUCUGAUGGCUUCCGUGCCAGCUCUACACUGCUGACCCCCAGUUCCAUUCCUCAGAUGACCUUUCUCCAGCUGAGCUAUCCUGCUUCCUCCUGGGUAGAGAACAUUCUCAAACUCCACAUGUCAACAACCACUGAAUCAUUCCCCUCUCUGGUCUCCCAAGCUGGAUUUUCUAUCCCAGUGACUAGCAGGCAAAUCCACACUUCCUCCUUCUCCCUCACCACCCCCACUCGCCCAGAGCCACUCAUUCCAGAAGGUUCUCUGUCCUCAACAUCUCCUGCUUCAAUCUUGUGCUGUCCUUCCCCCAGUGCCUCCAUGCUAGCUCAGGACAUGACCGUUUCACACCUAGACUGUGGCAAGAGUCUCCCAUGUGGCCCUUUUGGUCCACGUCUGCUCCCUCUACCUUAUUCUCUAUCCUGAAACUAGAGUCAUCUAAGAUGUGCCAUUGAUGAGUUUAUGACUUGUGGAAUAUUUACUGUAUGUGAGUUACUGUGCUGAGCUCUUUACAUGCAUAAUCUUUUUAAGAAACCUCCCUAAAAACUAUGUGAAAAAGACCUUCAUUAUCCCCAUUUCAGAGAUAUGGAAACUGGGACACAGAGAGGUUAAGUAUCUUGUCUGGGGUCACACAGCCAUUAAAAGGGAAAGUCUGCUCCAAUGUUACUCUCUGGUUUAGAAUCUUUCAGUGACUCCCCCCAAAUACUGACCUUCUGGGCAAAAUGCACACUUUCAGCUUGGUCACAGGGUUCUUUGUGACCUAGGCUCUGCCUCUCUGUCUGGAUUUAUCACUCACCACACUUCACCCUGACCUCUGGGGCUCCAGCUUUGAGGAGCUGCCUACAACUGCUCAGAGCACCCAUGCCUACUGUUCUUGUCUUCGUUCAAGUUGUUUGUUCCUCCAAGAUGCUUUCCCCAUCCAGUCUGUGUGGCAGACACAUCUCCCAAAGUUCAACUUAAAGGAGGUUCAUGCCUCCCCCCAUGGAACCUUUCCAGAGUGUGUUCGCACCCUGCCCCCAAUCCCUUGGAGAACUGACCUCCUACUCCUUUGGGCUUGGCUGUAACCAGGCUACGCACUAUGACUUCACCACCAGCGGGCAGGGCAGGGGCCGGGUCUCCAUGCACUAGUGCUAUAUGGAUAUUUACCGUGGGUGCUGGUGGCCUCGUUAAUUGAGGCUGCCUGGAGAGGGUGUUUCUCACUGUCUCAGUGGUGUGGGCAAUACUGAUUGGGUGUGAAUGUCACCCACUUGCCUGAUCUCCAGGAGACUGAACCGAGGGAGCUGGAUGGCCUUUGGAGCCUGGGGAAUGGCUCCCCCGGGCCAACAGAAAGACCAAGAAAGUUUCAGAUUCCACAUUGCAACUAAUCUUUGGGAAACUUCCACUUGUUGAGUUUUGUGGAGCAUCAGGGAAGAAUAUCCACAACUAUCUGAAGAGGUUAUCAGAACACUCCUUGCUUUCCCCACUACCCAGCUGCAAGAGGCUGGACUUUCUACACAUAUUUCAACUGAAAAAAACGCAUUGGAGGAGAUGGGAUGCAGAAGCCGAGUGGAGACUCCUGCUGUCUUCUAUGAAGCCAGACAGCUUGAUGCACAGCUGAGACCCAACCAGUCCCAGCCCCCUGUAACUUCUAGCUCUUCCCUGUAGAGUCAGAACAUUUUGUCUACUGCUUAACUAACCACUGCCUCCUCAAACUAUGGUCUCUGUCCUCCUGACCCUGGGAAGUUUCCGACACCUCCUAGGGGUGAAAAUCAACUUCUCCUAAUCUCCAGCUGUGCCCAGGGGACCAGGGGUGGUGUUUCCAAACUUCUAACCAUCCCAGGACAGGGGUCCCAGUGCCCCCAUGCUCUCCACUGCCCCUGGGAGCCUAUGGCCAAGUAGACACUGUCUAACUCACCCUAGGUAGGGGUGUGGGCCCUCCAAAUAUAACUGAUCCCCCCAGUGCAGGGGGUGGGGGUGUCUAAGCCCAAGAUCUCCCAAGUCCCUGUCUCUAACUCCCAAAGAGGGUGCUGAGCCUCUUUAGUUUGGACCCACUUCCCAAACAGAUAGGCAGAUGAUGUUGUUCAUUGGAGACAAAUUGGACAACCACCACCACCAAGCAUCUUUCAUGUUAAAGAUCGAAAACUGUAAAAUGAUCUUUACCCUAAAUCUUUAUUUUUAAAUUAAUACAUCUACAUUUUUUAAAACCUUCAGUUUUAAUUUCAGUUAAUUGCAAAUAUCGCUAGGCACAACCCAUAUAAACAAAAGCUCUUUUAGGUCCUCAGUAAUUUGUAGGAAUAUGUAUAUAGGGGGCCAAAAAGUUGAAGAACUGCUUUAUGCUAAAAUAGUGAAGGUUCUUAUGGGUGGCUGUGAGCAAGUGAUGCAUUACCCGGGGGUCCCAGCUCCCCUGUGCUCUCCACUGUCCCCAGGAGCCUGUGGCCUAAGUAGACAAAAUCUAACCUACCCUGGGUGUGGGUGGGGGCCCUCCAUAUACAACAGACAUUGUCAUCCUUUUCCAGAUUAUUCCCCAACUCCAGGCUUCAAUAUGACCCUAAAAUAAGGCCCUUGACUUCAGGGGACAGAUAAGCAUGCUACAGGAGACCCAUGGCUCUGAUAAGAGCACACACCCUUUGUCCCUUUCCUGCUCUCCCUCUUGAUGGAAAGAACAUGGACCUUGAGUCAGGCUAACUUUGGUCUCAGUCUCAGCCCUGCUUUUAGCCCGCGAGGGGACCCUAGACAAGUCUCUCAAUUCUCUGGUUUCCAUAGAGCAAUAACAAUGCUUGUCUUUCCUUACUGAGACUGUUUUGAGGCAUAAACAAAGGAAUGGGGACAAAUCUGUAGAGGCCUUACCAAUGUGAGUGAUGAACGUUGUCCAACAAAGAAUUCCCAUACACAUCUAUGACCAUUCAUUUCACAAAUACUUACCCAAAAUGUGGCCCAAGGCAGGCCUCGAAUGCAAAAACAAGAACACACAGUUCCAGCCUCCAAGGAGCUCCUGGUUUAGCAGACAAGACAGUGUGAUAUGGUAAAUUUGAAUUCUCAACCAAUUUCCCCCCCAAGCACCUGCUCCUGCUUCUCCACGCCUUAUGACCCCUUCCUCCUGCAGACAACCAGAUGGUGCUACAUCUGUGCUUUGGCAAAGGGAAAGAAUUCCAGAAAGAACUUUUGGCUGUUUGGUCAAAAGCCUGGCCUCGAGGAACCUCGAGGUUUAGAGAUUACCAAUGAGGAGGCAGCAUAGAGCUUCCCUUUCCCUUCCAUGACCAGAAACUGGCCUCUGUGGGCACCGUGGAGGGGAGAUGUCAGUGGGGCCCCUGGGGCUCAGGAUGAAAGGUCCCAGCCGAGGUGAACCAAGUGGAGCAGAAUGGCGCAGCGCAGAGAUCAUUCCAACAAACACCAUCCACCAUCAGAACUGGGGAGCAAGGGUGGGGGGGUUCCUGGCAACCUAUCAGCAACUCUAGCCUGUGCCCUUUGUAUACCUCUGAGCAGCCCAGGUCACCAGUACCGGGGAGCCACGCUCUUCGUCGGGUGCUCUUUGCAUCUGAACUUCUCUGCAACCAGCGUGUUGUCUGGUAACCAGUAAAAGAGGCGCCCAGGUGUGCACUCAAGACUUUGUUCAACUGCAUUCCGACUACCCUCAUAGAGAUAAACCUUUCCUUUUUUGACGGCCUGAGGCUCUGAGUUGUUAAGGGGUAGAAGGGGAAACCUCAGAGGCUGGUGCUGGGGGUGAUACCACAGGGAGCCAACCGGAGGGCCCCCCCCCCGCCCCCCGCCAUUACCAGAGAGAGAAAAGCUUCAACAGAAAUGGGCAGGGAGCAGCAAGAGUACAGAGGAAGUGACUCAUUCUCCCAGGCUUUUCGGGGCAGGAAGCGGAUGGGAGGAAAAAGGGUCAGGGAGGGCUUCACAGAGGAGGUGACAUUUGAACUGGGUGUGGGUGUCUGGCCACCGGUCAUCUCCCCAGAACUCAGCCUGCCCAGCUGAGGACAAAGAGUCCGGUUUCCUGGGAAAGAGGAACACACUGAGAAGCCCUCACUAUGAGCCAGAAGUCAGGUAGAGAUCUAGCAGGCACAGGCUCGUCUCUAGAAAUUGUCGCAUGGUUUUCUUCAGAGCACAGAUAUUAUUACCUUAUAUUCGGUCCUAUCCACUGACAAAUAGUGAUCGAUACUCCCUGUGCUACCUUUAGGACGGGUAAGGGGCUACACCACAGUAGAAGAGCCACGGUUGACUUACUGAGUACUCAAUGCACACCAGGCACAGUGCUUUGCAUCUGCAUUCAUUAUACCUUUCAUCCCACAGGGGAGUGUUUUAAUCCUGAAUUUGUAGAUAAGAAAAUAGGCUAAAGUUCCAGCAGCUGGUUAAAUGGCAGAAACAAGAUUUAAACUUAAACGUGUACUCACUUUCUUUCUACCUGGACUCCAGCUUGGACAGCUUAGACUUUAGUUGGAUAGCUAAGGAAUAAGUGCUGAAAAGGGUAAAUGAUAACACAAGAGGUAAACUCAUGUUUGGGUCAAGUGCCCUUGCACAGAACCUUGUGCUUACCCCUGCUCAGAAAGCCCUGCUGAUGCUCCCUCUAACUUGUACCUGUCCGUGUCUCUAAAUCUCCACUCUGCCCGGCUAUUAUUCCAUCUCUCACCUGGACCAAGCUCUAGACUGGACACAGAGUAGAAGGUCUUGACAGAAACAAAGUCAGUCCCUGCUUUUGGGUUUCCCAUAGUCAGAAAGAGUGGCAGGGAGAGUCUGCUAAGUGUCCCCCAACAUCCACUUGUCCUUCUAUUAAAGCAACAGAAUCCCUUGGGUUUUUAGCUGGGGAAACAGAUGCUCAGAACCAAGACUGGGGCUCCUUGCCCAUUUUGUAGCUACAUGUGGUCAUGUGACCAAGCUCUGACCAAUGUGAUUUGACCAGAUAACUUUUGGCUCCAGCCCUUAGAGGAAAAAGGUGUGACUCCCCUUCCCCUUCCAUCCUUUCCCCUGGCAGGGAUGAGGACAUGGUGUUGAGCUCUUUUGGACUAUGUAGGUGAGGUGACAGCAAUGGCAAAACAAGUGGCUCUGUGAAGCAGAGCUGCCCUUCCAAUUCCACGUUUUACAUGAGAGAGAAAUUAAACUUCUUUCAAGUUGUGUGGAGAUCAUAUAAACACCCAGUAAAUACAGGGGGAGAAAAGAUCGAAAAAACCAUCACUCAAGUAUGUACUUUGUAGAAGUACAAAUUAUAAUAAAUGCAAUGAAAACUACAUAGCAUUUUUCCUGAGAGACUAGAACUUGGGAGUCAGGGUAGGGGGCAGCUAGCUUAUAAUUGUCAGUUAAGGAAGGUUUCUGGCUUAGUUCGGGCUACUAUAACGAAUACCACGACCUGGGUGGUUUAAACAACAGGCAUUUAUUUCUCACAGUUCUGGAGGCUGGGACGUCCAAAUGAAGGUGUUAGCAGAUUCCAUGUCUGGUGAGAGUCUUCUUCUGGCUUGUAGACGGCUGCCUUCUCGUUGCGUCUUUACACGGCCAAGGGAGAGAGAGUUCUGGUCUCCUCCUGUUUUUUUUUUUCCUCCUGUUUUUAUAAGGGUGCUAAUCCCAUCCUGAGGGGCCCGCUCUCAUGACCUCAUCUAAACCGAAUUACCUCCCCAAGGCCCCACCUGCAAAGAGCAUCGCUUUAGGAGUUAGCACUUUAAGACAUGAAUUGGAAGGCUCACGAAACUUCACUCGCGUAUCGGCUGCUCUGAGAACCGGAUGCUUAUGCUGAGACCGACCCCAUGGGUAGGAUUUGGUCAGGGAUUUAGAGGGACCAGGAAAGAGAAUCUGUGAAGGCUCUGAGGCCAGAGACAAUGUAGCCACUGCUGGGACCCCAAGAAGGGCCGUGGGAGCAGAGCCCCUCUGCCAAGUUCUUAGUUCUUGGGCUCGCUAUCCUCCCCCUCCCAGGUGAAACAGCCUAGGCUCCUCAGCACCUAGACGUGGGGCUGCACAAUGACUUUGGUCCAAAUACCUCUUGAGGGGAUGGCCUGGUGCCUCUAGAAAGAAAGAUCUGGAGGACAGAUGCAAACCUUCUCUCAGGAAAGAACUCCCAGAGUCAAGCCCAGAGAAGCUGAAUCUGCAGUUGGGGCCCCAGAGGGGUGUGGGCCUGGGAGGAAGGGGAAGCCGAGGGUCAGAGAGGAUCAAAAGGUGAGAAACCGGACAGGUGUGUAAGCUGAGGCUCCGAGGUGUUAGGCAGGACCUAGCCGCAUGCCCAGAGCUGCUCCGUAUUGAGGCCUUGAUGUUGUGUGCGCAUGUGUGGUUGUGGGUUCACUGCCACUUCUAAACUGUGCCACGCCCAGCAGCAAAUGACUCUCAACACAGAAUCUCUCUGCAUCCUCACACGCUGACUUUAUGAGUGAGGCAUUAUCUCCAUUUUACAAAUGAAGACGCUGAGGCUCAGAGAGGGGGAGGUCAGCCACCUGGUUCAAGGUCACCAAGUGGGUAGUGUUGACCUGGGGUGGGGGUAGAGCCAGGGCUUGUCUGACCUAGCACCGGAGUUCCCGUGGGGAAACACAACACAUUCACCCUAUCCAGGAGGUGACCUGACCACUUGGACAGGGUGUUGGAGACUCACCUGUCCAGGAGACCUUGGGCAGAGUAUUGAAGACUCUUGGCCUGGGAACCAAAGAUGGUCCACAGCUGUGUUCAGUUUGGCUGGUCCAUGAUUUAAACAAACAACUGAAUGUGAAUGCCUGUAGGCAGAGAAGGGACUCUGUAGAUUAUCAUAAUCUCCCCCACUUAUUCUCACUUACUCCCUGCCUUGGCCCCAAAGACAUCUCGGUGUUCGUGUAGCCUUCAUUCUAGAAAAACCUUUCUUUAGCACCAGAAGCCAGUUGAGGAAGCUUUCCUGAGCCCCUCUUCCAGUCACUCUGGAAAUACAUUAGAGACUUGGAGCCUAAGUAGUUACCUAAUACAUUACAUAUCGAAUAUCUAAUAUCUACAACACAAUGCUUUCUCCUAUCAAGGAGGGUAACAUGGGUAGGCAAGGAUCUUGCUUUAUGAACUAGCCAUUAUGUGCACGCUGCAAGCAAGUUAAGAAAAGACUGAACCGGCCGAGUCCUUGCCUGGAGUUCUUUAGGAACAAGAGGCAGUUGUGUUCUCUAGAGCUGGAACGUGGCAGGUGGGCAGCUGGGACAUACCGAGGUAGAAAGCUCGAGGGAGCACGGUGUCUGAGAAUUUCUGUGUCCUUUUCCUGCAUUUUGCCAAGCUUGCUAGCUCUCUGCAGCUGAGUCUUAAAAGACCCCCGGGUUUCCCACUGUAUACCCUAUCUGUCAGGUCUGGAGUUGAACCAGGACACCACCAUCAGGCCCGGAGUUUUCUUUCCAAAGCACUAGUCCCUGACCCCCUGGAGUGUUCGAAAUUUGCAGACCUCUUGCCAUUUAGAGUAGCCACCUUUUAGUUCAAGGGGUAGAUAAAGGACUUUGAGUUCCUUUGGUUGCAAGUUGCCUUGGGCAAGGGAAGUUGUUUUCCUGCACUCAAAAUAGCCAUCUGUGUGUUAACUACUUUUUUUUUUUUUUAGAUGAAAGCGACAACAUUUUUUUUAAAAAACCAAGAUAAAUUGAAGCUGUCCAUAGUAUGUCUAGUGCAAAGCUAUAAUCGAGGGGUUUAUGUUUCACGAAUGCCCUGAAAAUGAAAGUUUCACAUAAAAGAUGGGACUGAGUGCAGGCAAGAUCUCAAAGAGAAAAGAGCACCCCUCUCUGUUAACUUGGGUUUACAAUGAAGAGGAAGGCGCUCAUCCUUAUCCCAAGCCUCACCCCAUGAAAAUUAAGUCAUGCUCCCAUGAAAUAGGCAGGAAGGGGUGGGGCUCCCGGGGCUUAUGAAACUGCAUCUCAUUCAAACAGCAAAGUGAAAUGCGCCUUGCCUAGGGUCACAGUCUAAUUGCCUCUGAGUAAGCAGGUUCUGAACAUGCUAUUCUUCAAAAUCUCCAACCUGCUUCCCUGCGCCUGUUUUGAAUUUCCUCUUCUCUAACAUAUAUUUAUAUCCUGCCUGUUACAAGCCGACAAGAACAAUCACUAGCAUUAUCUGUUUCCUUUCAGAUCCUGCUGUAAUUCGCUUACCUUCUUCCCACGGGUCGUUUUCUUACCCCCCCACCCCCACCCCCACCCCCUUGGAAUAAACCAAACUGUCUUAUAAAGAUGAAGGGAGAAAAGAGGUUGUGCUUUGGGACUUUAUUUAAAAAACAAACAGCAACAACAAAGCCAAGGUUAUUUGGUGCUGAGUACGCAAAGGAAUGUAGUAAAUUCGUGAGUUUAUUUAUUUAUUCCCUCGAGAAUUUACCAUGUACCAGCCCUAUGCCAGGCAGUAUGGACAAAAUGGAAAACCUGAUAUGGUCCCAUUUGCUCAAGAAACUCAGAGGCUGCUGGAGCAUGUAGACAAAACACACCUCAGACAUUUGCAAGAGACUGGGGCUCUGUGAAUGAGCUUGACUUGCUAUUGUUGAAAAGCCCAUUUUCAGGUUGUAGGCCAAAGGAGGAAGAAGGAUGGUUUCUGUUGAUCUGAUCUGAUUGAAGUUGUCGAGCCAUUCUCAUUACUAAUAAUAAUGUAUUAGGUCCUCCCAAACGACAGAGCAAGGCUUUCUGUGGACAAUUGCCAUCUGUCCAAGAUCACCAGUGCCCCUGGCUUUAGCUUAAGGGACAUGAUCUUUGACUUAUUUUCCUAAUCCCGGGAGGGAUGCACAGAGAGGAGUACAAAGCACAGGAGAGCUAGAAAGUGAGAGCACCGUGAGAAGCUUGUCAACUCCUCAGCCUGUCAGAAGGUUCUCUCUGUCUCUGUCUCAUGUUCUGCAUGUACUGCAGCACAGGCCUUGGAAUUGCCUCCGUGGGAGCCAUUCCAGGAGAGGGGCUGGCCUUCCAUGAGGAUGCGGGGAAUCAGGGUUGCAAGGUCACCCACGCCGUCGCUCCCCUGCUUGGCACCCAUGGCAAAUAUCAGCAACUGAUAUCAGGUCGCCUGAUCUCAACCAGUGUUCCUCAUCAGAAUCAGAGAAGCAAUAUUGACUUUCUCAAUUGUCCUAAGAAUUUACAUGACUCAUCCCACUGUAGAUGCACAGGGGAGAAAUUAAUUCCUUAUCAUCAGUGCCUCUGGGGCACUGGGGCUUCCUUCUCUGAGGAACCCUACGUGCAAUCUGACCAUCCUUCUCCACAGGUAACCCAAGGCAAGCAACCAUCUAUCCCAGCAGGUUGGUGAAUGAGUGAGUGGAAGUUUAUUUGCCACCCUGGACCAUUUGGCAACCUGAGGGAACUAAAGGAAAGGCUACAGAAAGAGUAUCCAUAAACUCUUCCACUAGGGGCUUCUGAGAGCUCCUUUGGGUAUAGCCCUGAAGUGCACUGGAAGACACAAAAGGAAACUGGGCAUCGUAACAAACUUUCCUCAUGACACCGCCAUGUUUGCUGUAUUUGUAGAUACUGUGGCAGAUGGAAUUCCAGAUGGAUUCCUGCCCCAGGUGUACACACACCAUAGAAUCCCCUCCCUGAGAGAGUGAGGGGAGUGGGUGGGACCUGAGAGUAUGGCGGCACUUCAGUCCUCUGGUUAGGUUACAUUGUGUGACAAAGGCGAAGAGACUUCUCAGAUGUCCCUCACUAGUUGACUCUGAGUUCAUCAAAUGGGAAGAGUAUGACUCUGAGUUCAUCAAAUGGGAAGAGUAUCCUGACCCAAUCAGGUAAACACUUUAAAUGAGGGUUUAGAUGUCAGAAACAGAAGAGUCAGAGAGGUUCAAAGCCAUAGACACCCUCCUCUAUUGACCUUAAAGAAACAAAUUGUCAUGUGUGGAGAGGGUCACAUGGCCAGGAACACUGGGUGGCCUCCAGGCACAGAGGGCCUUAGCCCUCCAGCUGCAAGGAACUGAAUCCUGCCAACAACUGAUGGGCUUGGAAGAAGACCCCGACCCUAAGAUGUGAUAGCAGCCCUGGCCACCAGCACUUGGAUUUCAGCAUUGGCAGACUCUGAGCCGAGAAAGCCAGAGAGAGAGGCAGAGACACAAGCAGAGGGAGAAGCAGGCUCCAUGCAAGGAGCCCGACACAGGACUCGAUCCCGGGACUCCAGGAUCACACCCUGGGCCAAAGGCAGGCGCCAAACUGCUGAGCCACCCAGGGAUCCCCAGUAUGUAAUCAGUAUUAUUGUAUCUUUACUCUCCCACCAGUGUUCCCUCACUUCAAUUAUUUCAAGAUGUAUACUAGCAUCAUAUAAUUUUAUUUCUAAAUACUUGUAUGUAUAUAGCUUAAAGAUGUAUACUCUUUAAAAAAAACCCAAUAUCUUACCCCAUCUAAAAAAAUAAAUGUAAUUUCUUAGUAUUAUCAAAUAUCUAGUCUGCAUUUACAUUUCCUGAUUGUCAAAUAUCUUGUUCUUUUGCGUAAAAAAAAAUGGAUCUAAAGAAGCUCCACAAGUUGCAAUUAAUUGAUAAAUCUCUUAUGUCUCUCUCUUUUUUUUUUCUUAUGUCUCUUUUAAUCUGUGGUUUCCCCUCUGCCUCUUUUUGUUCCUUGCACAUCUUUGUGGUAGAGACUGGGAUCUUUGUCACAUGGAGCUUCCCAUAACCCGAAUUUCUUUUUUUUUUUUUUUUCUUUUUCCGAAUUUCUUCUGAUUGCGACCUCAGUGUGUCCCCGGUCCCUGUAUUUCAUGUAGAUUGGAAGUGAGAUCAGGAGGCUUGAUCAGAUUCAGAUUUGAUUUUCAAGACCACUUUGCAGGUUGUAUUGUAUAAAUCUAUUAGGUGGCAUCUGAUUGGAUAUCUUUCUUUUGUGAGGUUCAAAUGCAUUGCUGAUUUAAAUUUUUUUUAAAAAAGAUUAUUUAUUUAUUUAUUCAUAGAUACACAGAGAGAGGC